UACGUAGGGGGCAAGCGUUGUCCGGAAUUAUUGGGCGUAAAGCGCGUGUAGGCGGCUCGGUAAGUCUGCUGUGAAAGUCCAGGGCUCAACCCUGGAACGCCGGUGGAUACUGUCGAGCUCGAGUCCGGAAGAGGCGAGUGGAAUUCCUGGUGUAGCGGUGAAAUGCGCAGAUAUCAGGAGGAACACCAAUGGCGAAGGCAGCUCGCUGGGACGGUACUGACGCUGAGACGCGAAAGCGUGGGGAGCGAACAGG
RNAcentral lists this ribosomal RNA (253 nucleotides) under uncultured bacterium. Its description in RNAcentral is "partial 16S ribosomal RNA". It matches the Rfam family "Bacterial small subunit ribosomal RNA", at positions 524 to 776 of the family's 1533-position model. The record is from RNAcentral.